Molecule: ribosomal RNA, 967 nt
Filed under: Klebsiella variicola
Lineage: Bacteria; Pseudomonadati; Pseudomonadota; Gammaproteobacteria; Enterobacterales; Enterobacteriaceae
Description: bacterial SSU rRNA
Rfam family: Bacterial small subunit ribosomal RNA
Source: RNAcentral
ACAGAGAGCUUGCUCUCGGGUGACGAGCGGCGGACGGGUGAGUAAUGUCUGGGAAACUGCCUGAUGGAGGGGGAUAACUACUGGAAACGGUAGCUAAUACCGCAUAACGUCGCAAGACCAAAGUGGGGGACCUUCGGGCCUCAUGCCAUCAGAUGUGCCCAGAUGGGAUUAGCUAGUAGGUGGGGUAACGGCUCACCUAGGCGACGAUCCCUAGCUGGUCUGAGAGGAUGACCAGCCACACUGGAACUGAGACACGGUCCAGACUCCUACGGGAGGCAGCAGUGGGGAAUAUUGCACAAUGGGCGCAAGCCUGAUGCAGCCAUGCCGCGUGUGUGAAGAAGGCCUUCGGGUUGUAAAGCACUUUCAGCGGGGAGGAAGGCGAUGAGGUUAAUAACCUUGUCGAUUGACGUUACCCGCAGAAGAAGCACCGGCUAACUCCGUGCCAGCAGCCGCGGUAAUACGGAGGGUGCAAGCGUUAAUCGGAAUUACUGGGCGUAAAGCGCACGCAGGCGGUCUGUCAAGUCGGAUGUGAAAUCCCCGGGCUCAACCUGGGAACUGCAUUCGAAACUGGCAGGCUAGAGUCUUGUAGAGGGGGGUAGAAUUCCAGGUGUAGCGGUGAAAUGCGUAGAGAUCUGGAGGAAUACCGGUGGCGAAGGCGGCCCCCUGGACAAAGACUGACGCUCAGGUGCGAAAGCGUGGGGAGCAAACAGGAUUAGAUACCCUGGUAGUCCACGCUGUAAACGAUGUCGAUUUGGAGGUUGUGCCCUUGAGGCGUGGCUUCCGGAGCUAACGCGUUAAAUCGACCGCCUGGGGAGUACGGCCGCAAGGUUAAAACUCAAAUGAAUUGACGGGGGCCCGCACAAGCGGUGGAGCAUGUGGUUUAAUUCGAUGCAACGCGAAGAACCUUACCUGGUCUUGACAUCCACAGAACUUUCCAGAGAUGGAUUGGUGCCUUCGGGAACUGUGA